AAAAAAUUAGCUGGGCGUGGUGUUGCACAACUGUAAUCCCAGCUACUAGGGAGGCUGAGGCAGGAUAAUCACUUGAACCCGCGAGGUGGAGGUUGCACUGAUCCGAGAUCGUGCCUCUGCACACUCCAACCUGGGUGACACAGUGAGACUGUCUCAAAAAAAAAAAAAAAAAAGUAAGAUCCUACGAAGCUGGGGCUCUGUUCCAGGCCAGCCUCAGGCCUGGCCUCAUCCUAAUGAAGUCAUCCUGGCCUAGUCCCAAUCUUGGGACUCUGGUCCCGUGGAUUCCCGCAGGGAUCCGCAACCAGGCCGACAACUGCCCCAGGGUACCCAACUCAGACCAGAAGGACAGUGAUGGCGAUGGUAUAGGGGAUGCCUGUGACAACUGUCCCCAGAAGAGCAACCCGGAUCAGGUGAGGACAGGCCAGACUCCAGCUGGGUAAGCCCUCUGGGUGAGCUGCAAGUUGGAUUACCCAGCCCACAGCCCAGCUUAGAGCAUUUCACACUGUCAGAGAAAUGACCUCCCGGUCCGAGCAGCCUGGGGCGGGGAUUUCCUUGGGGUCAGGAGGACUUUGGCUAUGUGGCUGAGUUGGGUGGGAGGCUUUCUGAUUUCCUCUGUCUGAUUGUGGACCCCCGUAUGCUGCCCCCCCGCAGGGGGAUGUGGACCACGACUUUGUGGGAGAUGCUUGUGACAGCGAUCAAGACCAGUAAGGAGGCCACCACCCGGGGUGGGUGUCCGGGUAGCCCUUGACAAAACUCUCUGGAGAGCUCAUUGUCUCUGGAUCCCACCUAUCCACUCUAGGGACGGAGAUGGACAUCAGGACUCUCGGGACAACUGUCCCACGGUGCCUAACAGUGCCCAACAGGACUCAGACAACGACGGCCAGGGUGAUGCCUGCGACAACGACGACGACAAUGACGGAGUCCCUGACAGUCGGGACAACUGCCGCCUGGUGCCCAACCCUGGCCAGGAGGACGUGGACAGGGACGGCGUGGGCGACGUGUGCCAGGGCGACUUUGAUGCAGACAAGGUGGUAGACAAGAUCGAUGUGUGUCCGGAGAACGCUGAAGUCACCCUCACCGACUUCCGGGCCUUCCAGACAGUCGUGCUGGACCCGGAGGGUGACGCGCAGAUUGACCCCAACUGGGUGGUGCUCAACCAGGUGGGAGAGGGGGCCAAGUGGGAGGUGAUGGGACCCUAGAA
This 1201-nucleotide long non-coding RNA is filed under the name Rhinopithecus bieti (black snub-nosed monkey). Its description in RNAcentral is "lncRNA (ENSRBIG00000046115.1)". Lineage: Eukaryota; Metazoa; Chordata; Mammalia; Primates; Cercopithecidae. The record is from RNAcentral.